Molecule: ribosomal RNA, 478 nt
Filed under: uncultured bacterium
Lineage: Bacteria
Description: bacterial SSU rRNA
Rfam family: Bacterial small subunit ribosomal RNA
Source: RNAcentral
GGACAAUGGGCGAAAGCCUGAUCCAGCCAUUCCGCGUGAGUGAAGAAGGCCUUCGGGUUGUAAAGCUCUUUCGCAAGAGAAGAAAGAUUACGCUCUAACAUAGCGUGAUUAUGACGGUACCUUGAUAAGAAGCACCGGCUAACUACGUGCCAGCAGCCGCGGUAAUACGUAGGGUGCGAGCGUUAAUCGGAAUUACUGGGCGUAAAGCGUGCGCAGGCUGUUUUGUAAGUCAGAUGUGAAAUCCCCGAGCUCACUUGGGAACUGCGUUUGAACUACAGACUAGAAUAUGUCAGAGGGGGGUAGAAUUCCACGUGUAGCAGUGAAAUGCGUANAGAUGUGGAGGAAUAUCAAUGGCGAAGGCANCCCCCUGGGAUAAUAUUGACGCUCAUGCNCGAAAGCGUGGGGAGCAANCAGGAUUANAUACCCUGGUAGUCCNCNCCCUNAACGAUGUCAACUAGUUGUUGGGUGGANUAAAAUC